GGAUCAUUACCGAGUUUACAAACUCCCAAACCCUUUGUGAACCUUACCAUAUCGUUGCUUCGGCGGGACCGCCCCGGCGCCCUCGCGGCCCGGAACCAGGCGCCCGCCGGAGGCCCCAAACUCUUAUGUCUUUAGUGGUUUUCUCCUCUGAGUGACACAUAAACAAAUAAAUAAAAACUUUCAACAACGGAUCUCUUGGUUCUGGCAUCGAUGAAGAACGCAGCGAAAUGCGAUAAGUAAUGUGAAUUGCAGAAUUCAGUGAAUCAUCGAAUCUUUGAACGCACAUUGCGCCCGCCAGUAUUCUGGCGGGCAUGCCUGUUCGAGCGUCAUUUCAACCCUCAGGCCCCCAGUGCCUGGUGUUGGGGAUCGGCAGCAGGGCGUCAAGCCCGCCGUCCCCGAAAUCUAGUGGCGGUCUCGCUGUAGUCCUCCUCUGCGUAGUAGCACAACCUCGCAGCUGGAACGCGGCGGUGGCCAUGCCGUUAAACACCCCACUUCUGAAAGUUGACCUCGGAUCAGGUAGGAAUACCCGCUGAACUUAAGCAUAUCAAUAAGCGGAGGAAAAGAAACCAACAGGGAUUGCCUCAGUAACGGCGAGUGAAGCGGCAACAGCUCAAAUUUGAAAUCUGGCCCCAGGCCCGAAUUGUAAUUUGCAGAGGAUGCUUUUGGCAAGGUGCCUUCCGAGUUCCCUGGAACGGGACGCCAUAGAGGGUGAGAGCCCCGUCUGGUCGGACACCGAGCCUCUGUAAAGCUCCUUCGACGAGUCGAGUAGUUUGGGAAUGCUGCUCAAAAUGGGAGGUAUAUGUCUUCUAAAGCUAAAUACCGGCCAGAGACCGAUAGCGCACAAGUAGAGUGAUCGAAAGAUGAAAAGCACUUUGAAAAGAGAGUUAAAUAGCACGUGAAAUUGUUGAAAGGGAAGCGUUUAUGACCAGACUUGGCCCGGUUGAUCAUCCAGCGUUCUCGCUGGUGCACUCUGCCGGUCCAGGCCAGCAUCAGUUCGCCGCGGGGGAUAAAGGUUUCGGGAAUGUAGCUCUCUUCGGGGAGUGUUAUAGCCCGUUGCGUAAUACCCUGCGGUGGACUGAGGUCCGCGC
Molecule: ribosomal RNA, 1088 nt
Filed under: uncultured fungus
Lineage: Eukaryota; Fungi
Description: eukaryotic LSU rRNA
Rfam family: Eukaryotic large subunit ribosomal RNA (bases 503-1088)
Source: RNAcentral